UACGAAGGGGGCUAGCGUUGUUCGGAGUUACUGGGCGUAAAGGGCUCGUAGGCGGCCAACUAAGUCAGACGUGAAAUCCCUCGGCUUAACCGGGGAACUGCGUCUGAUACUGGAUGGCUUGAGAUUGGGAGAGGGAUGCGGAAUUCCAGGUGUAGCGGUGAAAUGCGUAGAUAUCUGGAGGAACACCGGUGGCGAAGGCGGCAUCCUGGACCAAUACUGACGCUGAGGAGCGAAAGCCAGGGGAGCAAACGGG
RNAcentral lists this ribosomal RNA (253 nucleotides) under uncultured bacterium. Its description in RNAcentral is "partial 16S ribosomal RNA". It matches the Rfam family "Bacterial small subunit ribosomal RNA", at positions 524 to 776 of the family's 1533-position model. The record is from RNAcentral.